UACGUAGGUGGCAAGCGUUAUUCGGAUUCACUGGGCGUAAAGGGUGCGCAGGCGGUUGGGUGUGUCAGAUGUGAAAUCCCGAGGCUUAACCUCGGAACUGCGUCUGAAACUACUCGACUAGAGUACUGGAGAGGGUAACGGAAUUCACGGUGUAGCAGUGAAAUGCGUAGAUAUCGUGAGGAACACCAGAGGCGAAGGCGGUUACCUGGACAGUUACUGACGCUCAGGCACGAAAGCAUGGGGAGCAAAAGGG
Molecule: ribosomal RNA, 253 nt
Filed under: uncultured bacterium
Lineage: Bacteria
Description: partial 16S ribosomal RNA
Rfam family: Bacterial small subunit ribosomal RNA
Source: RNAcentral